CUUACCUACCCUUGACAUGGUCGGAAUCCUGCUGAGAGGUGGGAGUGCUCGAAAGAGAACCGGCGCACAGGUGCUGCAUGGCUGUCGUCAGCUCGUGUCGUGAGAUGUUGGGUUAAGUCCCGCAACGAGCGCAACCCUUGUCCUUAGUUGCUACGUAAGAGCACUCUAAGGAGACUGCCGGUGACAAACCGGAGGAAGGUGGGGAUGACGUCAAGUCCUCAUGGCCCUUAUGGGUAGGGCUUCACACGUCAUACAAUGGUCGGAACAGAGGGUUGCCAACCCGCGAGGGGGAGCUAAUCCCAGAAACCCGAUCGUAGUCCGGAUUGCACUCUGCAACUCGAGUGCAUGAAGCUGGAAUCGCUAGUAAUCG
RNAcentral lists this ribosomal RNA (370 nucleotides) under Burkholderia sp. 73R. RNAcentral's name for it is "bacterial SSU rRNA". It matches the Rfam family "Bacterial small subunit ribosomal RNA", at positions 970 to 1344 of the family's 1533-position model. The record is from RNAcentral. Lineage: Bacteria; Pseudomonadati; Pseudomonadota; Betaproteobacteria; Burkholderiales; Burkholderiaceae.